GAUGAACGCUAGCGGCAGGCUUAACACAUGCAAGUCGAACGGUAACAGAAAUUAGCUUGCUAAUUUGCUGACGAGUGGCGCACGGGUGCGUAACGCGUAUGCAACUUACCCUUAACUGGAGAAUAGCCUUUCGAAAGGAAGAAUAAUACUCCAUAGUAUUUCUCCUCGGCAUCGAGGAGUUCUUAAAGCUUUGGCGGUUAAGGAUAGGCAUGCGUUCUAUUAGUUUGUUGGUGAGGUAACGGCUCACCAAGACUUCGAUAGAUAGGGGGCCUGAGAGGGUUAUCCCCCACACUGGUACUGAGACACGGACCAGACUCCUACGGGAGGCAGCAGUGAGGAAUAUUGGUCAAUGGACGAAAGUCUGAACCAGCCAUGCCGCGUGCAGGAUGAAUGCCCUAGGGUUGUAAACUGCUUUUANAUAGGAAGAAACCCCUUUAGUGUAGAGGGCUGACGGUACUAUAAGAAUAAGGACCGGNUAACUCCGUGCCAGCAGCCGCGGUAAAGUCAGUG
RNAcentral lists this ribosomal RNA (510 nucleotides) under uncultured bacterium. RNAcentral's name for it is "bacterial SSU rRNA". It matches the Rfam family "Bacterial small subunit ribosomal RNA", at positions 28 to 530 of the family's 1533-position model. The record is from RNAcentral.